GAUCUUGUUUGAAAGAUUAAUCGGUUGCGGAUUGGCUCGCGUCCCAUUAGCUAGUCGGCGGGGUAACGGCCCACCGAGGCGACGAUGGGUAGGGGUUCUGAGAGGAAGGUCCCCCACAAUGGAACUGAGACACGGUCCAUACUCCUACGGGAGGCAGCAGUGAGGAAUAUUGGUCAAUGGGCGGAAGCCUGAACCAGCCAUGCCGCGUGCAGGACGACGGCCCUAUGGGUUGUAAACUGCUUUUGCGAGGGAGCAAUAAGGGCCUCGAGCAGGUCCGAUGAGAGUACCUUGCGAAUGAGCAUCGGCUAACUCCGUGCCAGCAGCCGCGGUAAUACGGAGGAUGCGAGCGUUAUCCGGAUUUAUUGGGUUUAAAGGGUGCGUAGGCUGUUAGUUAAGUCAGGGGUGAAAUGCCGGUGCUCAACGCCGGAGCUGCCCUUGAUACUGGCUGGCUGGAGUGCGGAUGCCGUUGGAGGAAUGAGUGGUGUAGCGGUGAAAUGCUUAGAGAUCACUCAGAACACCGAUUGCGAAGGCAUCUGACGAAUCCGUCACUGACGCUGAGGCACGAAAGCGUGGGGAUAGA
RNAcentral lists this ribosomal RNA (580 nucleotides) under uncultured rumen bacterium. Its description in RNAcentral is "bacterial SSU rRNA". It matches the Rfam family "Bacterial small subunit ribosomal RNA", at positions 192 to 771 of the family's 1533-position model. The record is from RNAcentral.